GUAGGGAAUAUUGCACAAUGGAGGAAACUCUGAUGCAGCGACGCCGCGUGAGUGAUGAAGGCCUUCGGGUCGUAAAGCUCUGUCGCAGGGGAAUAACACAAUGAAGGUACCCUGUAAGAAAGGAUCGGCUAACUUCGUGCCAGCAGCCGCGGUAAGACGAGGGAUCCUAGCGUUGUUCGGAAUCAUUGGGCGUAAAGCGGAUGUAGGUGGCUAUGUAAGUCAGAUGUGGAAGCCUGGGGCUCAACCCCAGAAGUGCAUUUGAUACUGCGUAGCUUGAGUGUCGGAGAGGUUACUAGAAUUGUUGGUGUAGUGGUGAAAUACGUAGAUAUCAACAGGAAUACCGGAGGCGAAGGCGGGUAACUGGCCGAACACUGACACUGAGAUCCGAAAGCGUGGGGAUCAAACAGGAUUAGAAACCCGGGUAGUCC
RNAcentral lists this ribosomal RNA (428 nucleotides) under uncultured bacterium. RNAcentral's name for it is "bacterial SSU rRNA". It matches the Rfam family "Bacterial small subunit ribosomal RNA", at positions 354 to 796 of the family's 1533-position model. The record is from RNAcentral.